CCCACAAAUAUAUUCAGCCCACACAACUAGAAUCAAAUAAACAAUCUCCACAAUUAAUUAAAAUAUCACACACAUUUUAUAUAGGUUUCAAACUGCAAUACAACACCAAAAGCACAAAUGACUGCAGAACAUAGGCUACACCAAGAAUCUCAAAUGUCUUCCGAACAUCAGCUACAUCGAGAACAUCACAUGAUCAGCAUCAGCGAAGCAGUAGCGCACCAACAGGAGCACCGCACCAGCAAGAGAGUGCCAACAACAGGACAACAGCAGCAGCACGA
This 278-nucleotide long non-coding RNA is filed under the name Sorghum bicolor (sorghum). Its description in RNAcentral is "long non-coding RNA (SBIC_LNC001737)". Lineage: Eukaryota; Viridiplantae; Streptophyta; Magnoliopsida; Poales; Poaceae. The record is from RNAcentral.